CCAGAGAGUGUCUAUGAAAGUUUGGAAUUU
This 30-nucleotide non-coding RNA is filed under the name Mus musculus (house mouse). The record is from RNAcentral. Lineage: Eukaryota; Metazoa; Chordata; Mammalia; Rodentia; Muridae.